AUUGAACGCUGGCGGCAGGCUUAACACAUGCAAGUCGAGCGGGGUGAUGGUGCUUGCACUAUCACUUAGCGGCGGACGGGUGAGUAAUGCUUAGGAAUCUGCCUAUUAGUGGGGGACAACAUCUCGAAAGGGAUGCUAAUACCGCAUACGUCCUACGAGAGAAAGCAGGGGAUCACUUGUGACCUUGCGCUAAUAGAUGAGCCUAAGUCGGAUUAGCUAGUUGGUGGGGUAAAGGCCUACCAAGGCGACGAUCUGUAGCGGGUCUGAGAGGAUGAUCCGCCACACUGGGACUGAGACAUGGCCCAGACUCCUACGGGAGGCAGCAGUGGGGAAUAUUGGACAAUGGGGGGAACCCUGAUCCAGCCAUGCCGCGUGUGUGAAGAAGGCCUUAUGGUUGUAAAGCACUUUAAGCGAGGAGGAGGCUCUUUUGGUUAAUACCCAAGAUGAGUGGACGUUACUCGCACAAUAAGCACCGGCUAACUCUGUGCCAGCCGCCGCAGUAA
RNAcentral lists this ribosomal RNA (503 nucleotides) under uncultured bacterium. RNAcentral describes it as "partial 16S ribosomal RNA". It matches the Rfam family "Bacterial small subunit ribosomal RNA", at positions 30 to 523 of the family's 1533-position model. The record is from RNAcentral.